This 253-nucleotide ribosomal RNA is filed under the name uncultured bacterium. RNAcentral's name for it is "partial 16S ribosomal RNA". It matches the Rfam family "Bacterial small subunit ribosomal RNA", at positions 524 to 776 of the family's 1533-position model. The record is from RNAcentral.
UACGGAGGGUGCAAGCGUUGUCCGGAUUUAUUGGGUUUAAAGGGUGCGUAGGUGGCCUUAUAAGUCAGCGGUGAAAGUCUGCAGCUUAACUGUAGAACUGCCAUUGAUACUGUAAGGCCUGAGUACUGAUGAGGUAGGCGGAAUUGACGGUGUAGCGGUGAAAUGCAUAGAUAUCGUCAAGAACACCGAUAGCGAAGGCAGCUUACUGGGCUGUAACUGACGCUGAUGCACGAAAGUGUGGGGAUCAAACAGG